This 252-nucleotide ribosomal RNA is filed under the name uncultured prokaryote. Its description in RNAcentral is "partial 16S ribosomal RNA". It matches the Rfam family "Bacterial small subunit ribosomal RNA", at positions 523 to 774 of the family's 1533-position model. The record is from RNAcentral.
AUACGUAGGGUGCGAGCGUUGUCCGGAAUUAUUGGGCGUAAAGGGCUCGUAGGCGGUUUGUCGCGUCGGGAGUGAAAACAUCCAGCUUAACUGGGUGCUUGCUUUCGAUACGGGCAGACUUGAGGUAUGCAGGGGAGAAUGGAAUUCCUGGUGUAGCGGUGAAAUGCGCAGAUAUCAGGAGGAACACCGGUGGCGAAGGCGGUUCUCUGGGCAUUACCUGACGCUGAGGAGCGAAAGUGUGGGGAGCGAACA